AGUGAACGCUGGCGGUAGGCCUAACACUUGCAAGUCGAACGGCAGCACAGUAAGAGCUUGCUCUUACGGGUGGCGAGUGGCGGACGGGUGAGGAAUACAUCGGAAUCUACUUUUUCGUGGGGGAUAACGUAGGGAAACUUACGCUAAUACCGCAUACGACCUACGGGUGAAAGCAGGGGAUCUUCGGACCUUGCGCGAUUGAAUGAGCCGAUGUCGGAUUAGCUAGUUGGCGGGGUAAAGGCCCACCAAGGCGACGAUCCGUAGCUGGUCUGAGAGGAUGAUCAGCCACACUGGAACUGAGACACGGUCCAGACUCCUAUGGGAGGCAGCAGUGGGGAAUAUUGGACAAUGGGCGCAAGCCUGAUCCAGCCAUACCGCGUGGGUGAAGAAGGCCUUCGGGUUGUAAAGCCCUUUUGUUGGGAAAGAAAAGCAGCAGGUUAAUACCCCGCUGUUCUGACGGUACCCAAAGAAUAAGCACCGGCUAACUUCGUG
This 492-nucleotide ribosomal RNA is filed under the name uncultured bacterium. RNAcentral describes it as "partial 16S ribosomal RNA". It matches the Rfam family "Bacterial small subunit ribosomal RNA", at positions 29 to 507 of the family's 1533-position model. The record is from RNAcentral.